Long non-coding RNA from Oreochromis aureus, 762 nucleotides. NCBI's taxonomy places the organism in Eukaryota, Metazoa, Chordata, Actinopteri, Cichliformes, Cichlidae. The record is from Ensembl.
UUAUUAGGAAUUGGUGGGGUUUCUCUGGUGUGGUGUCAUGGGGUCUGCUUCUGUUUUCAGCACAGGUAGGCGGGGUGGUGUGUCACGGGAUGCUGACACACCGGCGGUAUAUCAGACGUCAUUUGAUGGAGCGUUAUUUAGGAGCAGCGCGACAGACGUCUGGUGUCGGAGUAUUGCCACCUCCCCGAGUGCUGGAUCUAUCACCCGCUUACCUGUCAGCUGUUUGUGAAGCCGCAUUUCCGGGAUCUCUACGGAGAUAGAUCUCAGCAUUUCUUCUACUUCCCGGGAAUCCUCGCCCGAGUCUGUACAGCCAGUGUGACAAAUCCACCCUGCGUGUGCGGGUUACCCCUUUCCCUCAGAAUGCGUGUCAGCUCCCUUCUCUGGUUUCCCUCCGUUUAUUUGUCGGUGUACAUAUUCCAUCCCGUGUAAAUAAGUUGGACACUGUAAAUAAAAAGCACUUCCUGCAUUUUCUGCGUUUCUGUGUGUUCUGCCAUAGAGUCCGUUUACUUAGCAUAACAGCCGUGUGGAAAUCAUCGGUUGCCCAGACUCGUUUUGCUGGUGGACGAGUUUCUGAACUCUGAUAAUACAGUUAAUCAAAAUUAGAAAACCUACUAACAGAUUUGAAAUACAGUGUAACACUGGAUACUUUAAAGAAAACAUGAAACAGUAGCGGUUACUAAACGUACUAAGCAAUAAAAAAUAAAAAAAUUCCAGCUGUUUGCAUAACUACUAAGAAAUUUGAAAGUGAGUGUAACUUUAAAC